RNAcentral lists this ribosomal RNA (440 nucleotides) under uncultured bacterium. RNAcentral describes it as "bacterial SSU rRNA". It matches the Rfam family "Bacterial small subunit ribosomal RNA", at positions 338 to 795 of the family's 1533-position model. The record is from RNAcentral.
CCUACGGGACGCAGCAGUGAGGAAUAUUGCCCAAUGGACGCAAGUCUGAGGCAGCAACGCCGCGUGGAGGAUGAAGGUCUUUGGAUUGUAACUCCUUUUUUCAGGGAAGAGUGAGGACGGUACCUGAAGAAUAAGUCACGGCUAACUACGUGCCAGCAGCCGCGGUAAUACGUAGGUGGCAAGCGUUAUCCGGAAUUACUGGGCGUAAAGCACACGCAGGCGGCUCGUCAAGUUCGACGUGAAAGCUCCCGGCUUAACUGGGAGAGGUCGUUGAAAACUGAGGAGCUUGAGGCAAUGAGAGGGGUGUAGAAUUCCCGGUGUAGUGGUGGAAUGCGUAGAUAUCGGGAGGAAUACCAGUGGCGAAAGCGGCACCCUAGCAUUAGCCUGACGCUCAGGUGCGAAAGCGUGGGGAGCGAACGGGAUUAGAUACCCCCGUAGUC